RNAcentral lists this transfer RNA (32 nucleotides) under Felis catus (domestic cat). RNAcentral's name for it is "partial tRNA-Thr". The record is from RNAcentral. Lineage: Eukaryota; Metazoa; Chordata; Mammalia; Carnivora; Felidae.
AAAAAAGGAGAACAUAUGCCCUCCCUAAGANU